This 960-nucleotide ribosomal RNA is filed under the name Limosilactobacillus fermentum. RNAcentral's name for it is "bacterial SSU rRNA". It matches the Rfam family "Bacterial small subunit ribosomal RNA", at positions 126 to 1070 of the family's 1533-position model. Lineage: Bacteria; Bacillati; Bacillota; Bacilli; Lactobacillales; Lactobacillaceae. The record is from RNAcentral.
CUGCCCAGAAGCGGGGGACAACAUUUGGAAACAGAUGCUAAUACCGCAUAACARCGUUGUUCGCAUGAACAACGCUAAAAAGAUGGCUUCUCGCUAUCACUUCUGGAUGGACCUGCGGUGCAUUAGCUUGUUGGUGGGGUAAYGGCCUACCAAGGCGAURAUGCAUAGCCGAGUUGAGAGACUGAUCGGCCACAAUGGGACUGAGACACGGCCCAUACUCCUACGGGAGGCAGCAGUAGGGAAUCUUCCACAAUGGGCGCAAGCCUGAUGGAGCAACACCGCGUGAGUGAAGAAGGGUUUCGGCUCGUAAAGCUCUGUUGUUAAAGAAGAACACGUAUGAGAGUAACUGUUCAUACGUUGACGGUAUUUAACCAGAAAGUCACGGCUAACUACGUGCCAGCAGCCGCGGUAAUACGUAGGUGGCAAGCGUUAUCCGGAUUUAUUGGGCGUAAAGAGAGUGCAGGCGGUUUUCUAAGUCUGAUGUGAAAGCCUUCGGCUUAACCGGAGAAGUGCAUCGGAAACUGGAUAACUUGAGUGCAGAAGAGGGUAGUGGAACUCCAUGUGUAGCGGUGGAAUGCGUAGAUAUAUGGAAGAACACCAGUGGCGAAGGCGGCUACCUGGUCUGCAACUGACGCUGAGACUCGAAAGCAUGGGUAGCGAACAGGAUUAGAUACCCUGGUAGUCCAUGCCGUAAACGAUGAGUGCUAGGUGUUGGAGGGUUUCCGCCCUUCAGUGCCGGAGCUAACGCAUUAAGCACUCCGCCUGGGGAGUACGACCGCAAGGUUGAAACUCAAAGGAAUUGACGGGGGCCCGCACAAGCGGUGGAGCAUGUGGUUUAAUUCGAAGCUACGCGAAGAACCUUACCAGGUCUUGACAUCUUGCGCCAACCCUAGAGAUAGGGCGUUUCCUUCGGGAACGCAAUGACAGGUGGUGCAUGGUCGUCGUCAGCUCGUGUCGUGA